UACGAAGGGGGCUAGCGUUGUUCGGAAUCACUGGGCGUAAAGGGCGCGUAGGCGGCCGAUCAAGUCGGGGGUGAAAGCCUGUGGCUCAACCACGGAAUUGCCUUCGAUACUGUUUGGCUUGAGACCGGAAGAGGUAAGUGGAACUGCGAGUGUAGAGGUGAAAUUCGUAGAUAUUCGCAAGAACACCAGUGGCGAAGGCGGCUUACUGGUCCGGUUCUGACGCUGAGGCGCGAAAGCGUGGGGAGCAAACAGG
RNAcentral lists this ribosomal RNA (253 nucleotides) under uncultured bacterium. Its description in RNAcentral is "partial 16S ribosomal RNA". It matches the Rfam family "Bacterial small subunit ribosomal RNA", at positions 524 to 776 of the family's 1533-position model. The record is from RNAcentral.